This 523-nucleotide ribosomal RNA is filed under the name actinobacterium JS2300. RNAcentral's name for it is "bacterial SSU rRNA". It matches the Rfam family "Bacterial small subunit ribosomal RNA", at positions 337 to 872 of the family's 1533-position model. Lineage: Bacteria; Bacillati; Actinomycetota; Actinomycetes. The record is from RNAcentral.
UCCUACGGGGGGCGGCAGUGGGGAAUAUUGCACAAUGGGCGGAAGCCUGAUGCAGCAACGCCGCGUGAGGGAUGACGGCCUUCGGGUUGUAAACCUCUUUUAGCAGGGAAGAAGCGAGAGUGACGGUACCUGCAGAAAAAGCGCCGGCUAACUACGUGCCAGCAGCCGCGGUAAUACGUAGGGCGCAAGCGUUAUCCGGAAUUAUUGGGCGUAAAGAGCUCGUAGGCGGUCUGUCGCGUCUGCUGUGAAAUCCCGAGGCUCAACCUCGGGCCUGCAGUGGGUACGGGCAGACUAGAGUGCGGUAGGGGAGAUUGGAAUUCCUGGUGUAGCGGUGGAAUGCGCAGAUAUCAGGAGGAACACCGAUGGCGAAGGCAGAUCUCUGGGCCGUAACUGACGCUGAGGAGCGAAAGGGUGGGGAGCAAACAGGCUUAGAUACCCUGGUAGUCCACCCCGUAAACGUUGGGAACUAGUUGUGGGGUCCUUUCCACGGAUUCCGUGACGCAGCUAACGCAUUAAGUCCCGC